RNAcentral lists this ribosomal RNA (497 nucleotides) under uncultured bacterium. Its description in RNAcentral is "partial 16S ribosomal RNA". It matches the Rfam family "Bacterial small subunit ribosomal RNA", at positions 28 to 507 of the family's 1533-position model. The record is from RNAcentral.
GAUGAACGCUGGCGGCGUGCCUAAUACAUGCAAGUCGAGCGAACAGACGAGGAGCUUGCUCCUCUGACGUUAGCGGCGGACGGGUGAGUAACACGUGGAUAACCUACCUAUAAGACUGGGAUAACUCCGGGAAACCGGAGCUAAUACCGGAUAAUAUAUUGAACCGCAUGGUUCAAUAGUGAAAGACGGUUUUGCUGUCACUUAUAGAUGGAUCCGCGCCGCAUUAGCUAGUUGGUAAGGUAACGGCUUACCAAGGCAACGAUGCGUAGCCGACCUGAGAGGGUGAUCGGCCACACUGGAACUGAGACACGGUCCAGACUCCUACGGGAGGCAGCAGUAGGGAAUCUUCCGCAAAGGGCGAAAGCUUGACGGAGCAACGCCGCGUGAGUGAUGAAGGUCUUCGGAUCGUAAAACUCUGUUAUUAGGGAAGAACAAAUGUGUAAGUAACUAUGCACGUCUUGACGGUACCUAAUCAGAAAGCCACGGCUAACUACGUG